RNAcentral lists this small nuclear RNA (126 nucleotides) under Oncorhynchus mykiss (rainbow trout). RNAcentral describes it as "U1 spliceosomal RNA (ENSOMYG00000052723.1)". It matches the Rfam family "U1 spliceosomal RNA". Rfam says of the family: U1 is a small nuclear RNA (snRNA) component of the spliceosome (involved in pre-mRNA splicing). Its 5' end forms complementary base pairs with the 5' splice junction, thus defining the 5' donor site of an intron. Lineage: Eukaryota; Metazoa; Chordata; Actinopteri; Salmoniformes; Salmonidae. The record is from RNAcentral.
AUACUUACCUGGCAAGGGAGACACCGUGAUCACGAAGGCGGUUCACCCAGGGCGAGGCUCAGCCAUUGCACUCCGGCUGUGCUGACCCCUGCAAAUUUCUCAAAUGUGGAAAUCUCGACUGCGUUC